CAAUAGCGUAUAUUAAAGUUGUUGCAGUUAAAAAGCUCGUAGUUGGAUUUCUGGCAGGAGUGACCGGCCGCACACACUGUGUGCGAGUUGCGUCAUUCUGGCCAUCCUUGGUGAGAUCCUGUUUGGCAUUAAGUUGUCGGGCAGGGGAGUAACCAUCGUUUACUUUUGAAGAAAUUAGGAGUGUUUAAAGUCAGGCUUACGCCAGAACAUAUUAGCAUGGAAUAAUAAUUUAGGACUUUUGUUCUAUUUUGUUGGUUUCUAGGACGAAAGUAAAUGAUUGAUAGGGAUAGUUGGGGGUGGCUAGUAUUCGGCGGCCAGAGGUGAAAUUCUUUGAUCCGCUGAAGACUAACUUAUGCGAAAGCAUUCACCAAGGAUGUCUUCUUUAAUCAAGAACGAAAGUUGGGGGAGUCGAAGACGAUCAGAUAUCAU
Molecule: ribosomal RNA, 429 nt
Filed under: uncultured eukaryote
Lineage: Eukaryota
Description: bacterial SSU rRNA
Rfam family: Eukaryotic small subunit ribosomal RNA
Source: RNAcentral